This 1372-nucleotide ribosomal RNA is filed under the name uncultured bacterium. RNAcentral's name for it is "bacterial SSU rRNA". It matches the Rfam family "Bacterial small subunit ribosomal RNA", at positions 28 to 1381 of the family's 1533-position model. The record is from RNAcentral.
GAUGAACGCUCGUUGCGUGCCUAAUACAUGCAAGUCGAGCGAACGGACGAGAAGCUUGCUUCUCUGAUGUUAGCGGCGGACGGGUGAUUAACACGUGGAUAACCUACCUAUAAGACUGGGAUAACUUCGGGAAACCGGAGCUAAUACCGGAUAAUAUUUUGAACCGCAUGGUUCAAAAGUGAAAGACGGUCUUGCUGUCACUUAUAGAUGGAUCCGCGCUGCAUUAGCUAGUUGGUAAGGUAACGGCUUACCAAGGCAACGAUGCAUAGCCGACCUGAGAGGGUGAUCGGCCACACUGGAACUGAGACACGGUCCAGACUCCUACGGGAGGCAGCAGUAGGGAAUCUUCCGCAAUGGGCGAAAGCCUGACGGAGCAACGCCGCGUGAGUGAUGAAGGUCUUCGGAUCGUAAAACUCUGUUAUUAGGGAAGAACAUAUGUGUAAGUAACUGUGCACAUCUUGACGGUACCUAAUCAGAAAGCCACGGCUAACUACGUGCCAGCAGCCGCGGUAAUACGUAGGUGGCAAGCGUUAUCCGGAAUUAUUGGGCGUAAAGCGCGCGUAGGCGGUUUUUUAAGUCUGAUGUGAAAGCCCACGGCUCAACCGUGGAGGGUCAUUGGAAGCUGGAAAACUUGAGUGCAGAAGAGGAAAGUGGAAUUCCAUGUGUAGCGGUGAAAUGCGCAGAGAUAUGGAGGAACACCAGUGGCGAAGGCGACUUUCUGGUCUGUAACUGACGCUGAUGUGCGAAAGCGUGGGGAUCAAACAGGAUUAGAUACCCUGGUAGUCCACGCCGUAAACGAUGAGUGCUAAGUGUUAGGGGGUUUCCGCCCCUUAGUGCUGCAGCUAACGCAUUAAGCACUCCGCCUGGGGAGUACGACCGCAAGGUUGAAACUCAAAGGAAUUGACGGGGACCCGCACAAGCGGUGGAGCAUGUGGUUUAAUUCGAAGCAACGCGAAGAACCUUACCAAAUCUUGACAUCCUUUGACAACUCUAGAGAUAGAGCUUUCCCCUUCGGGGGACAAAGUGACAGGUGGUGCAUGGUUGUCGUCAGCUCGUGUCGUGAGAUGUUGGGUUAAGUCCCGCAACGAGCGCAACCCUUAAGCUUAGUUGCCAUCAUUAAGUUGGGCACUCUAAGUUGACUGCCGGUGACAAACCGGAGGAAGGUGGGGAUGACGUCAAAUCAUCAUGCCCCUUAUGAUUUGGGCUACACACGUGCUACAAUGGACAAUACAGAGGGCAGCGAAACCGCGAGGUCAAGCAAAUCCCAUAAAGUUGUUCUCAGUUCGGAUUGUAGUCUGCAACUCGACUACAUGAAGCUGGAAUCGCUAGUAAUCGUAGAUCAGCAUGCUACGGUGAAUACGUUCCCGGGUCU